This 147-nucleotide ribosomal RNA is filed under the name Cortinarius cf. decipiens. Its description in RNAcentral is "5.8S ribosomal RNA". It matches the Rfam family "5.8S ribosomal RNA". Rfam says of the family: 5.8S ribosomal RNA (5.8S rRNA) is a component of the large subunit of the eukaryotic ribosome. It is transcribed by RNA polymerase I as part of the 45S precursor that also contains 18S and 28S rRNA. The record is from RNAcentral. Lineage: Eukaryota; Fungi; Basidiomycota; Agaricomycetes; Agaricales; Cortinariaceae.
AACUUUCAGCAACGGAUCUCUUGGCUCUCGCAUCGAUGAAGAACGCAGCGAAAUGCGAUAAGUAAUGUGAAUUGCAGAAUUCAGUGAAUCAUCGAAUCUUUGAACGCACCUUGCGCUCCUUGGUAUUCCGAGGAGCAUGCCUGUUUG